GCUCCGCAGUAGGCAGGGGCUGUCUGGGUCCUGCUGGUGCCUGAGAAUUCUCUCACUUCUUCCCGGCAGCUCUAGCAUCUUCCUUCCCAAGCCACAGAGGCAUCCCUUCUGAUGUAUUCUGGUUGGUUGAGCCCCAUCAGCCUGUUUCAUCUCCAGCUUUUCUCCCUGGACAGGGGUGGGGAAAGGAGUGCUGGAUUCGGAGCUCCUCCCUCCCUGCACCGCCUCAUUUUCUCCUCCGGGUCUGGCGCACAGUGGCCAUUUCCGAUGCACCCUGAAGACUGAAGGAGCCAGGGCAGAGCCAGGAUCCUGCGAGCCAUGGCCCUGGCUGCCCUGCUGAGCCUCCCGGAACCCAGGCCAUCAGGGAUAAAGAAAGCUUUUUAUGGCUCACUGACUGAGGACAAUCAAUCCCUUCACAAUCUGGAACCUGAAGAUUGGAUCUUCUGAGAACAUCAGAGAAAGAGUGCCCUUGCCAUCCACACUGCAGCAAACAUCAGAACCGUGAACCUUGGGUUCAUAAUCUCUCAACUGAGAAGGAUUCCUCCACAUUCUUGGAACUGUACACCCAUUGGAACCCUUAAGAAGCACUUGGCUCUCGCUGUACUUCAACCACCUCCAUAAACUCAACAUCCAUCAGACUGGUCAACUGAUGUCUGAAUCCCAACUGUGGAUUAAGUGGAACUUCUUCCCCAUAGGUGUCCUGGGAAGCAUGAAAAUCAUAUAGGUGUCUGUUUUAAGGUCCCAGAAUAUUCCAUGAGAAGCACUUUGCUCCAUCUUCUUUGUCAGGAGCUGGUCAGCCUGGAGCACAUCAGAGACCUCCAGGGGGCGCUGGAGCUAAGGCUUGAUACCCACUGGCCUCAUUUCUGACCUAAUUCAAAUAUAUUUCACCAAGGCAAGGAUUCCUGUUUGUUCUAGUUGCCUUUGCUCAAUUACUUCUAGAUUUGGGUGGGCAUCCACACUGGAAUGGCCAGGACUUCUAUCCUCCUUCUUCCUCCAUCUUCCCCACCCGUGUGUUUUUCUCUACUCUAAUUCAUGCCCUUAUGAUUUUCCUGGACAAUAAUAGUAAUUUCUUAUCUCAUCUCUCUGCCUCUGGUUCCUGCUGUCUCCAACUGACUUCACAGUCUUCCGAAAACAGAUUUCCAGCCUUGUCAUUUUCAUUUGAAGAUUUCUGAAGAUUUUAAAAAAUAUUCAGUGUUCUGGCACUUAUCUGGCUGCUGAGAAUCACUUGGGAGCUGAUUAAAAACAUAGAUCUCCAGACCUCCCCACCCAGGGAAUCUGAAUCUCUAGGCAGUGAGUCGGGGGGAAUCUUUGCUUCACAGAGGAUCUCAAGGAGAGUCUUCUGCGCAGCGAGGUUGGGGACCUGCUGGCCUAGAGUGUAGCAGGACGAGCCGCAGACAAAACCUUUCAGACACUGAGUUGUAGA
Molecule: long non-coding RNA, 1420 nt
Filed under: Macaca fascicularis (crab-eating macaque)
Lineage: Eukaryota; Metazoa; Chordata; Mammalia; Primates; Cercopithecidae
Description: uncharacterized LOC106997908
Source: RNAcentral